Long non-coding RNA from Fukomys damarensis (Damara mole-rat), 471 nucleotides. RefSeq lists it as uncharacterized. Lineage: Eukaryota; Metazoa; Chordata; Mammalia; Rodentia; Bathyergidae. The record is from RefSeq and is a predicted model, not a curated record. The transcript has 3 exons.
CUGGCUUCUGGGCACAGCACUCCACAGGCUCCUGCAGUCUCUUGUGCCUGAUGUCUCUUCUCAUGUGUGGUACCCGCUGGGCUCCUCUCCAGCUGCCAGGGCCUGACUGACAGCCUGUCUGGCUUCUCAUGAUUGCUCCUCCUGCUAUUGUGAUGCCAGCCACCAUGAGGUCCUCACCACCAGCACCAAGUCCUGGAACCUCCAGAACACUGCACAUCACCUGCUCAGUAACAGCUCUGGCCAGACUCCGCCCUGGCCAUACUGACCCGCUGGACACACUCUCCCAGGACCCCAGACCCAGGGUGCAGGCUGGGAAACAGAGGGCGCAAGGGGGUUGGUGGAGGGGACGCUGCCUAAACCUCUGCACUCUGCUGCCCUGAACAAUGGAAGGCUCCCUCUUCCCUCCCCUGCUUGGCCUGAACCUUUUCUUCUCAAACAGGAACCAAGGACCAUCUCCAGCCAGGGCGGCUC